CAAUAUUUGGGAAAAUAUGUAGUGCAAACCACAUAUGUAGUGAAAACAUGAAAACUACUGUUGAAUCGAGAAAUGGACGUCCGAGAUUCGUCCACGUCACCCUGAGUUAAAAUUUAACUAGGAGUUUUAACUCAGGGUGACGUGGACGAAUCUCGAACAUUCAUUUCUCGAUCCAACGGUAGUUUCCAAGUUUUCACUAUAUAUGUGGUUUGCACUAGAUAUUUUCCCUC
This 230-nucleotide unclassified non-coding RNA is filed under the name Oryza sativa (Asian cultivated rice). Lineage: Eukaryota; Viridiplantae; Streptophyta; Magnoliopsida; Poales; Poaceae. The record is from RNAcentral.